Chelonia mydas (Green sea turtle) is the source of this 528-nucleotide long non-coding RNA. RefSeq lists it as uncharacterized. NCBI's taxonomy places the organism in Eukaryota, Metazoa, Chordata, Testudines, Cheloniidae. The transcript is spliced from 3 exons. The record is from RefSeq and is a predicted model, not a curated record.
CUACAAGGCUGACAUGAGGCAGAGGCCCCAGAAGGCUGCUCCUAGCAGUGCUCUGCGGCAUGCAGCCAGGGACUAGAAGUAAUUGGACUCUGAGGGGACUUCGGGAGAGAACUGAAUUCCUGCCAGGGACAGAAGGAUUUCUCAGGAGUGGGGGCUCCUUUAUGGGGCAAAGGGACAAGAGACCCAAAGGACUGGGAGCUGAGGACCAGAGAGAUCCAAAGGAAUGGCAGAGCCAGGAAUCGAACCCAAAUCUAGUGCCUUGACUGUGCAAAGAAAAGAGCAUUACACUUUUCCCAGAUUUAGGAUCAUAUUAUCAGAGAUGACAGUCUCAAAAAACCCUACCUCCAUCCCCCAGAAGAACACCCCAACAAGGAACAUAUCAAAUAUUAAAUCAGUACUAGCACUUACUCUGUAUAAUAAAUAAGAUGGCUGAAUGCAACAAAACAACUUCUGUGAACAUUUGCAUUUUUAAUUAAUGUAGUUCUCUUUAAUUUGAUUGGAUAGUGCAAAAUGUAGAUGUUAGUGCUA